This 365-nucleotide ribosomal RNA is filed under the name uncultured organism. Its description in RNAcentral is "bacterial SSU rRNA". It matches the Rfam family "Bacterial small subunit ribosomal RNA", at positions 526 to 896 of the family's 1533-position model. The record is from RNAcentral.
CGGAGGAUCCAAGCGUUAUCCGGAAUCAUUGGGUUUAAAGGGUCCGUAGGCGGUUUAGUAAGUCAGUGGUGAAAGCCCAUCGCUCAACGGUGGAACGGCCAUUGAUACUGCUAGACUUGAAUUAUUAGGAAGUAACUAGAAUAUGUAGUGUAGCGGUGAAAUGCUUAGAGAUUACAUGGAAUACCAAUUGCGAAGGCAGGUUACUACUAAUGGAUUGACGCUGAUGGACGAAAGCGUGGGUAGCGAACAGGAUUAGAUACCCUGGUAGUCCACGCCGUAAACGAUGGAUACUAGCUGUUGGGAGCAAUUUCAGUGGCUAAGCGAAAGUGAUAAGUAUCCCACCUGGGGAUACGGGCGCAAGCCUG